This is a transfer RNA of Felis catus (domestic cat), 85 nucleotides long. It matches the Rfam family "tRNA". Rfam says of the family: Transfer RNA (tRNA) molecules are approximately 80 nucleotides in length. Their secondary structure includes four short double-helical elements and three loops (D, anti-codon, and T loops). Further hydrogen bonds mediate the characteristic L-shaped molecular structure. tRNAs have two regions of fundamental functional importance: the anti-codon, which is responsible for specific mRNA codon recognition, and the 3' end, to which the tRNAs corresponding amino acid is attached (by aminoacyl-tRNA synthetases). tRNAs cope with the degeneracy of the genetic code in two manners: having more than one tRNA (with a specific anti-codon) for a particular amino acid; and 'wobble' base-pairing, i.e. permitting non-standard base-pairing at the 3rd anti-codon position. The record is from Rfam. Lineage: Eukaryota; Metazoa; Chordata; Mammalia; Carnivora; Felidae.
GCCUGGGUGGCUCAGUUGGUUGGGCAUCUGACUUCAGCUCAGGUCAUGAUCUUGCAGUCCAUGAGUUCGAGCCCCGUGUCAGGCU